GGUAUCCUGUCUGAAUAUGGGGGGACCAUCCUCCAAGGCUAAAUACUCCUGACUGACCGAUAGUGAACCAGUACCGUGAGGGAAAGGCGAAAAGAACCCCGGCGAGGGGAGUGAAAAAGAACCUGAAACCGUGUACGUACAAGCAGUGGGAGCACGCUUAGGCGUGUGACUGCGUACCUUUUGUAUAAUGGGUCAGCGACUUAUAUUCUGUAGCAAGGUUAACCGAAUAGGGGAGCCGAAGGGAAACCGAGUCUUAACUGGGCGUUAAGUUGCAGGGUAUAGACCCGAAACCCGGUGAUCUAGCCAUGGGCAGGUUGAAGGUUGGGUAACACUAACUGGAGGACCGAACCGACUAAUGUUGAAAAAUUAGCGGAUGACUUGUGGCUGGGGGUGAAAGGCCAAUCAAACCGGGAGAUAGCUGGUUCUCCCCGAAAGCUAUUUAGGUAGCGCCUCGUGAAUUCAUCUCCGGGGGUAGAGCACUGUUUCGGCAAGGGGGUCAUCCCGACUUACCAACCCGAUGCAAACUGCGAAUACCGGAGAAUGUUAUCACGGGAGACACACGGCGGGUGCUAACGUCCGUCGUGAAGAGGGAAACAACCCAGACCGCCAGCUAAGGUCCCAAAGUCAUGGUUAAGUGGGAAACGAUGUGGGAAGGCCCAGACAGCCAGGAUGUUGGCUUAGAAGCAGCCAUCAUUUAAAGAAAGCGUAAUAGCUCACUGGUCGAGUCGGCCUGCGCGGAAGAUGUAACGGGGCUAAACCAUGCACCGAAGCUGCGGCAGCGACGCUUAUGCGUUGUUGGGUAGGGGAGCGUUCUGUAAGCCUGCGAAGGUGUGCUGUGAGGCAUGCUGGAGGUAUCAGAAGUGCGAAUGCUGACAUAAGUAACGAUAAAGCGGGUGAAAAGCCCGCUCGCCGGAAGACCAAGGGUUCCUGUCCAACGUUAAUCGGGGCAGGGUGAGUCGACCCCUAAGGCGAGGCCGAAAGGCGUAGUCGAUGGGAAACAGGUUAAUAUUCCUGUACUUGGUGUUACUGCGAAGGGGGGACGGAGAAGGCUAUGUUGGCCGGGCGACGGUUGUCCCGGUUUAAGCGUGUAGGCUGGUUUUCCAGGCAAAUCCGGAAAAUCAAGGCUGAGGCGUGAUGACGAGGCACUACGGUGCUGAAGCAACAAAUGCCAUGCUUCCAGGAAAAGCCUCUAAGCAUCAGGUAACAUCAAAUCGUACCCCAAACCGACACAGGUGGUCAGGUAGAGAAUACCAAGGCGCUUGAGAGAACUCGGGUGAAGGAACUAGGCAAAAUGGUGCCGUAACUUCGGGAGAAGGCACGCUGAUAUGUAGGUGAAGCGACUUGCUCGUGGAGCUGAAAUCAGUCGAAGAUACCAGCUGGCUGCAACUGUUUAUUAAAAACACAGCACUGUGCAAACACGAAAGUGGACGUAUACGGUGUGACGCCUGCCCGGUGCCGGAAGGUUAAUUGAUGGGGUCAGCGCAAGCGAAGCUCUUGAUCGAAGCCCCGGUAAACGGCGGCCGUAACUAUAACGGUCCUAAGGUAGCGAAAUUCCUUGUCGGGUAAGUUCCGACCUGCACGAAUGGCGUAAUGAUGGCCAGGCUGUCUCCACCCGAGACUCAGUGAAAUUGAACUCGCUGUGAAGAUGCAGUGUACCCGCGGCAAGACGGAAAGACCCCGUGAACCUUUACUAUAGCUUGACACUGAACAUUGAGCCUUGAUGUGUAGGAUAGGUGGGAGGCUUUGAAGUGUGGACGCCAGUCUGCAUGGAGCCGACCUUGAAAUACCACCCUUUAAUGUUUGAUGUUCUAACGUUGACCCGUAAUCCGGGUUGCGGACAGUGUCUGGUGGGUAGUUUGACUGGGGCGGUCUCCUCCUAAAGAGUAACGGAGGAGCACGAAGGUUGGCUAAUCCUGGUCGGACAUCAGGAGGUUAGUGCAAUGGCAUAAGCCAGCUUGACUGCGAGCGUGACGGCGCGAGCAGGUGCGAAAGCAGGUCAUAGUGAUCCGGUGGUUCUGAAUGGAAGGGCCAUCGCUCAACGGAUAAAAGGUACUCCGGGGAUAACAGGCUGAUACCGCCCAAGAGUUCAUAUCGACGGCGGUGUUUGGCACCUCGAUGUCGGCUCAUCACAUCCUGGGGCUGAAGUAGGUCCCAAGGGUAUGGCUGUUCGCCAUUUAAAGUGGUACGCGAGCUGGGUUUAGAACGUCGUGAGACAGUUCGGUCCCUAUCUGCCGUGGGCGCUGGAGAACUGAGGGGGGCUGCUCCUAGUACGAGAGGACCGGAGUGGACGCAUCACUGGUGUUCGGGUUGUCAUGCCAAUGGCACUGCCCGGUAGCUAAAUGCGGAAGAGAUAAGUGCUGAAAGCAUCUAAGCACGAAACUUGCCCCGAGAUGAGUUCUCCCUGACUCCUUGAGAGUCCUGAAGGAACGUUGAAGACGACGACGUUGAUAGGCCGGGUGUGUAAGCGCAGCGAUGCGUUGAGCUAACCGGUACUAAUGAACCGUGAGGCUUAACC
RNAcentral lists this ribosomal RNA (2515 nucleotides) under Escherichia coli. RNAcentral's name for it is "bacterial LSU rRNA". It matches the Rfam family "Bacterial large subunit ribosomal RNA", at positions 428 to 2925 of the family's 2925-position model. Lineage: Bacteria; Pseudomonadati; Pseudomonadota; Gammaproteobacteria; Enterobacterales; Enterobacteriaceae. The record is from RNAcentral.